UGGGGAAUAUUGCACAAUGGAGGGAACUCUGAUGCAGCGACGCCGCGUGAACGAAGAAGGCUUUCGAGUCGUAAAGUUCUUUUAUAUGGGAAGAUAAUGACGGUACCAUAAGAAAAAGCCCCGGCUAACUACGUGCCAGCAGCCGCGGUAAUACGUAGGGGGCUAGCGUUGUCCGGAAUCACUGGGCGUAAAGGGUUCGCAGGCGGAAAUGCAAGUCAGGUGUAAAAGGCAGUAGCUUAACUACUGUAAGCAUUUGAAACUGCAUAUCUUGAGAAGAGUGGAGGUAAGUGGAAUUUUUAGUGUAGCGGUGAAAUGCGUAGAUAUUAAAAGGAAUACCGGUGGCGAAGGCGACUUACUGGGCUCAUUCUGACGCUGAGGAACGAAAGCGUGGGUAGCAAACAGG
Molecule: ribosomal RNA, 403 nt
Filed under: Fusobacteriota bacterium
Lineage: Bacteria; Fusobacteriati; Fusobacteriota
Description: Fusobacteria bacterium partial 16S ribosomal RNA
Rfam family: Bacterial small subunit ribosomal RNA
Source: RNAcentral